RNAcentral lists this ribosomal RNA (245 nucleotides) under uncultured bacterium. RNAcentral describes it as "partial 16S ribosomal RNA". It matches the Rfam family "Bacterial small subunit ribosomal RNA", at positions 89 to 334 of the family's 1533-position model. The record is from RNAcentral.
UACUUAGCGGCGGACGGGUGAGUAACGCGUGGGUAACCUGCCUUACACUGGGGGAUAACAGUUAGAAAUGACUGCUAAUACCGCAUAAGCGCACAGGGCCGCAUGGCCUGGUGUGAAAAACUCCGGUGGUGUAAGAUGGACCCGCGUCUGAUUAGGUAGUUGGUGGGGUAACGGCCCACCAAGCCGACGAUCAGUAGCCGACCUGAGAGGGUGACCGGCCACAUUGGGACUGAGACACGGCCCAA